UGCAAUCUUUAUAAAACAUUCUUUGGGAUUGUGGUACUAAGUCCGGAAACUAAAACAUUCGGUUUUAUUUGUCAAGUGUUGGAUAGCGUUAGCAAAUAUAUUGGUAAACAAAUACAUAACGAAUAUAAAUUGAUUGAUUUUAAGCCAUUUGAUUCGGGUCUUUAAAUCAAAUUAGCACCACCCACUAUUUUUGGCAAAUUCCAUAUCCCUCAUUAGAAUUCGAGAGUUUUGGAGGAAACUCCUAGUAGGUUAUGGGAAGCUCACUAUUACCAAGCCCACCUCAGAAGAACUCCAUAUUGGCUAGCAACAAUAAUAAUGAGAUAGUACGCUUACUCAUUUGCAACUAAUGCAAGUACCCAUCUUAUUUGGCCUCUAG
Molecule: long non-coding RNA, 376 nt
Filed under: Malus domestica (apple)
Lineage: Eukaryota; Viridiplantae; Streptophyta; Magnoliopsida; Rosales; Rosaceae
Description: long non-coding RNA (MDOM_LNC010489)
Source: RNAcentral